RNAcentral lists this ribosomal RNA (483 nucleotides) under uncultured bacterium. Its description in RNAcentral is "partial 16S ribosomal RNA". It matches the Rfam family "Bacterial small subunit ribosomal RNA", at positions 28 to 523 of the family's 1533-position model. The record is from RNAcentral.
GACGAACGCUGGCGGCGUGCCUAACACAUGCAAGUCGAACGAGGUCCAAGGAAGCUUGCUUCCUGACGACCUAGUGGCGAACGGGUGAGUAACACGUGAGAAACCUGCCUCGGAGUGGGGAAUAACUCGGGGAAACUCGCGCUAAUACCGCAUGUCUUCACAUGAUCGCAUGGUCGAGUGAAGCAAGAAUUUCGCUCUGAGAGGGUGUCGCGGCCUAUCAGCUUGUUGGUGGGGUAACGGCCCACCAAGGCAACGACGGGUAGCUGGUUUGAGAGAACGAUCAGCCACACUGGGACUGAGACACGGCCCAGACUCCUACGGGAGGCAGCAGUGGGGAAUCUUGCGCAAUGGGCGAAAGCCUGACGCAGCAACGCCGCGUGCGGGAUGACGGCCUUCGUGGUUGUAAACCGCUUUCAGCGGGGACGAAAAUGACGGUACCUGCAGAAGAAGCCCCGGCUAACUACGUGCCAGCAGCCGCAGUAA